This 1506-nucleotide ribosomal RNA is filed under the name Tekelloides australis. RNAcentral's name for it is "SSU rRNA". It matches the Rfam family "Eukaryotic small subunit ribosomal RNA". The record is from RNAcentral. Lineage: Eukaryota; Metazoa; Arthropoda; Arachnida; Araneae; Cyatholipidae.
GCCAUGCAUGUCUAAGUACAUGCCGAACCAAGGCGAAACCGCGAAUGGCUCAUUAAAUCAGUUAUGGUUCCUUGGACCGUACUCCGCUACUUGGACAACUGUGGCAAUUCUAGAGCUAAUACAUGCAGCAGAGCUCCGACCUCAGGGGACGAGCGCUUUUAUUAGACAAAGACCAGCCGGGCCAACGGUCCGUCGAGCGUGGUGACUCUGUAUAACUUUGGGCUGAUCGCACGGGCUCGUCCCGGCGACGCGUCCUUCAAGUAUCUGCCUUAUCAACUGUCGAUGGUAGGUCACGUGCCUACCAUGGUCGUGACGGGUAACGGGGAAUCAGGGUUCGAUUCCGGAGAGGGAGCCUGAGAAACGGCUACCACAUCCAAGGAAGGCAGCAGGCGCGAAAAUUACCCACUCCCGGCACGGGGAGGUAGUGACGAAAAAUAACAAUACGGGACUCUUUUGAGACCCCGUAAUUGGAAUGAGUACACUCUAAAGCCUUUAACGAGGACCCAUUGGAGCACAAGCCUGGUGCCAGCACGCGCGGUAACUCCAGUUCCAAUAGCGUAUAUUAAAGUUGUUGCGGUUAAAAAGCUCGUAGUUGGAUCUCAGUUCCGGCCGGGGGGUCCGCUCAACGGCGGCCACCCCCCGCGCCGAACAGCCAGCCGGUGUGCCCCGAUGAUCUUCACCGGUUGUCCCGGCGCUCCGGCACGUUUACUUUGAAAAAAUUAGAGUGCUCAGAGCAGGCUCGAGAAGCCUGAACAGUGGUGCAUGGAAUAAUGGAAUAGGACCUCGGUUCUGUUCUGUUGGUCUUCGGAACGCGAGGUAAUGACUAAGAGGGACAGACGGGGGCAUUCGUAUUGCGACGCUCUUAAAGGAAUUGACGGAAAAACACUACCAGGCAUGGGAUCUGCGGCUUAAUUUGACUCAACGCGGGGAAUCUGACCGGGUCAGGACACGGGAAGGAUUGACAGAUUGAGAGCUCUUUCUUGAUUCCGUGAGGAGUGGUGCAUGGCCGUCUUUAGUUGGUGGAGUGAUUUGUCUGCUUAAUUGCGUUAACGAGCGAAAUCCCAACCUGCUAAAUAGGCGCUCCGAUCCUUCGAGUCGGACGCCUCUUCUUAGAGGGACCGGCGGCGUCCAGCCGCACGAAACGGGGCCACGACAGGUCUGGAAUGCCCUCAGAUGUCCUGGGCCGCACGCGCGUCACAAUGGAGGGACCAGCGUGUGCUUUCCCUGCCCGACAGGGCCGGGUAACCCGUUGAACCCCCUCCGUGCUUGGGAUAGGGGCUUGUAACUGUUCCCCUUGAACGAGGAAUGCCCAGUAAGCGCGAGUCACCAACUCGUGCUGAUUACGUCCCUGUUUUUUGUGCACACCGCCCGUCGCUAUAACCGAUUGGACGGUUUAGUGAGUUCUUCGGACUGGCGCUCGGACUGGCCUUCGGGUCCGGGCCGACGUGCCGGAAAGACGAGCGAACUUGGCCGUCUAGAGGAUAUAAAAGUCGUAACAAGGUCGCC